Molecule: ribosomal RNA, 474 nt
Filed under: uncultured fungus
Lineage: Eukaryota; Fungi
Description: eukaryotic LSU rRNA
Rfam family: 5.8S ribosomal RNA (bases 136-288)
Source: RNAcentral
CUUGGUCAUUUAGAGGAAGUAAAAGUCGUAACAAGGUUUCCGUAGGUGAACCUGCGGAAGGAUCAUUACAAAAUGAGAGAGUGAGUGUAGGAAUGUACUAGAAUAAAAUAUUAUAAUAUUUACACAAUUACACACAACUUGCCACCUUGGAUCUCUGGGCUCUUGCGUCGAUGAAGAACGCAGCAAAACGCGAAAACGUGUUAUGACAUGCAGUCUUUGAGAAUGAAUGACUUUUUGAACGCACCGUGUACUCGUGUGUCUAGCAUGAGUAUGUUUGUUUGAGCAUGGAAAAAUAAUUUUUACUAAUAUGAGGAUUAGGGAUACCUAUUCUUGAAAUACAAUACGAUCACGUGUGGUUGUCACUGGAACAAACUUUCUUUGAUAAUCACACCACAUCCACCCAAUCUACACACACACCUAUCUCAAAUCAAACAAGAAGACCCGCUGAACUUAAGCAUAUCAAUAAGCGGAGGA